This 460-nucleotide ribosomal RNA is filed under the name uncultured bacterium. Its description in RNAcentral is "partial 16S ribosomal RNA". It matches the Rfam family "Bacterial small subunit ribosomal RNA", at positions 338 to 795 of the family's 1533-position model. The record is from RNAcentral.
CCUACGGGAGGCAGCAGUGAGGAAUAUUGGUCAAUGGGCGAGAGCCUGAACCAGCCAAGUCGCGUGAAGGAUGACGGCCCUACGGGUUGUAAACUUCUUUUGUCAGGGAGCAAUUGGGUCCACGCGUGGGCUUAGCGAGAGUACCUGAAGAAAAAGCAUCGGCUAACCCCGUGCCAGCAGCCGCGGUAAUACGGAGGAUGCGAGGGUUAUCCGGGUUUAUUGGGUUUAAAGGGUGCGUAGGCGGAAUAUCAAGUCGGCGGGAAAAAUUCGGGGCUCAACCCCGUCGUGCCGUUGAAACUGAUGUUCUUGAGUGGGCGAGAAGUAUGCGGAAUGCGUGGUGUAGCGGUGAAAUGCAUAGAUAUCACGCAGAACUCCGAUUGCGAAGGCAGCAUACCGGCGCCCAACUGACGCUGAAGCACGAAAGCGUGGGUAUCGAACAGGAUUAGAUACCCCGGUAGUC